RNAcentral lists this ribosomal RNA (459 nucleotides) under uncultured bacterium. RNAcentral's name for it is "partial 16S ribosomal RNA". It matches the Rfam family "Bacterial small subunit ribosomal RNA", at positions 338 to 795 of the family's 1533-position model. The record is from RNAcentral.
CCUACGGGGGGCAGCAGUGAGGAAUAUUGGUCAAUGGCCGAGAGGCUGAACCAGCCAAGUCGCGUGAGGGAAGAAUGUCCUAUGGAUUGUAAACCUCUUUUGUCAGGGAGCAAAGUCACCCACGUGUGGGUGUUGGAGAGUACCCGGAGAAAAAGCAUCGGCUAACUCCGUGCCAGCAGCCGCGGUAAUACGGAGGAUGCGAGCGUUAUCCGGAUUUAUUGGGGUGAAAGGGUGCGUAGGCGGGCAUUUAAGCCGGCGGUCAAAUGGAGGGACUCAACCCCGGCCGGCCGUCGGAACUGGGUGCCUUGAGUGGGCGAGAAGUAUGCGGAAUGCGUGGUGUAGCGGUGAAAUGCAUAGAUAUCACGCAGAACCCCGAUUGCGAAGGCAGCAUACCGGCGCCCUACUGACGCUGAGGCACGAAAGUGCGGGUAUCGAACAGGAUUAGAUACCCGAGUAGUC